GACGAACGCUGGCGGCGUGCCUAAUACAUGCAAGUCGAACGAGAAAUUCUUACACCGGAUGCUUGCAUCCACCGUAAGAUUUCGAGUGGCGGACGGGUGAGUAACACGUGGGUAACCUGCCCAAAAGAAGGGGAUAACAUUUGGAAACAAGUGCUAAUACCGUAUAACCAUGAUGACCGCAUGGUCAUGAUGUAAAAGGUGGUUUUGCUAUCGCUUUUGGAUGGACCCGCGGUGCAUUAGCUAGUCGGUGGGGUAACGGCCUACCGAGGCGAUGAUGCAUAGCCGACCUGAGAGGGUGAUCGGCCACAUUGGGACUGAGACACGGCCCAAACUCCUACGGGAGGCAGCAGUAGGGAAUCUUCGGCAAUGGACGCAAGUCUGACCGAGCAACGCCGCGUGAGUGAAGAAGGUUUUCGGAUCGUAAAGCUCUGUUGUUAGAGAAGAACAAGUAAGAUAGUAACUGAUCUUGCCUUGACGGUAUCUAACCAGAAAGCCACGGCUAACUACGUGCCAGCAGCCGCCGUAAAAC
RNAcentral lists this ribosomal RNA (529 nucleotides) under uncultured bacterium. Its description in RNAcentral is "bacterial SSU rRNA". It matches the Rfam family "Bacterial small subunit ribosomal RNA", at positions 28 to 526 of the family's 1533-position model. The record is from RNAcentral.